CACGAGGUCGCCGUAUGUCAGCCUGGGGAGUACAGAGCCCCAAGGCUGGGUUUCUUGAGUUGUGUGGAAAGCUCCGUGUACAUGUCCCGAGUUCUCACGAACGAAGGGGAGGAAGCCACGAAAGCAGAGGCCACGACGGAACCCACGUGGCAGCCACCUCUCACCCCACCAUGGUCACAGCCCUGGUGUGCAGCGUGGUGGCCUCUGCUCCCUCCACCUUCUCUCUUGAUGGGGACCCUGGCCCGGCUCUGCCCAGCCCUGCUGUGCUUAUCACCGAGAUGGGAGCCAAGGGCCUGAGACACCAGCGGUGUGUGCCACGCCCACUCGCCACCUGGCACGUCUCCCAGAACAUCAACGAAGCACGAGGCAGGAAGAGGACGAAACAGGAACAGCAGACGAGGAGGAGCUGAGGAGGCCCCUGUGCCUGCAGCAGUGAAAAUGGAUCCCGAGGCUCCUCGUGUUGGGGAAGAGGACGUGGGGUCCCCCGCAAGCCAGUCCAUCUCCGUGUCGUUCUGGGGACGCCGGACACAUACUGGAAAUAUCCGAGUUUCGGGAGAAGAGCGGGUCAGGCCCCUCGCCGUCCCCUGGACUCACUUUGCAUGGCUGCACCUUCCUCCCCAGGAAGGGGCCCCGUGGCUCCUGUCUAGCGUCCCGGGAGCCGGCCACACCCUGCCGAGACACACCUUCUUUCUGCGUGGUCUGGGCCCCUUCUCCGUGUGUCUCUGUCCUUCCUGUCUGCUCCCAGCCCCAGCGUAGGGUGGGGAUCAGGUCCUGGCCGGCUUAGGGCAAUGCCAGGCAGCAGCCGCUCCCUCACAGACCCCAGGCUCCCAGCAGAACCUCCGGCGGCUCACCCUUGGGGGCUGGCCCCACCCCGCCUGCCAGCAUGCCCUGCCUAGAGGGCAGGGGAGGGUCUGUGGCUGGAGACCAGGGCGGGUGCUCCGGGGAGGGUCUGUGGCUGGAGACCAGGGUGGGUGCUCGGGCCCCUGACAGACCCUACCUGGGCUUUCCUUCCCCCGUAGCCCCUUGUGAGGCCAGGCCAGGCUCACUGUCCCCACGUGCCCCUCGGCCCUGGGACCCCGCACCCAGGCCCUCCUGCUAGCC
Molecule: long non-coding RNA, 1101 nt
Filed under: Homo sapiens (human)
Lineage: Eukaryota; Metazoa; Chordata; Mammalia; Primates; Hominidae
Description: non-protein coding lnc-OGFOD3-3:1
Source: RNAcentral